GUAGGGAAUCUUCCACAAUGGGCGCAAGCCUGAUGGAGCAACACCGCGUGAGUGAAGAAGGGUUUCGGCUCGUAAAGCUCUGUUGUUAAAGAAGAACACGUAUGAGAGUAACUGUUCAUACGUUGACGGUAUUUAACCAGAAAGUCACGGCUAACUACGUGUCAG
Molecule: ribosomal RNA, 165 nt
Filed under: uncultured bacterium
Lineage: Bacteria
Description: partial 16S rRNA
Rfam family: Bacterial small subunit ribosomal RNA
Source: RNAcentral